CACGUAGGAGGCAAACGUUAUCCGGAUUUACUGGGCGUAAAGCGCGUGUAGGUGGUUCUGUAAGUAGGGCGUGAAAGCUCCCGGCUCAACUGGGAGAGGUCGUUCUAAACUGCAGAGCUAGAGGAUGGUAGAGGGAGGUGGAAUUCCAGGUGUAGCGGUGGAAUGCGCAGAUAUCUGGAGGAACACCAGUGGCGAAGGCGGCCUCCUGGACCAUUCCUGACACUCAGACGCGAAAGCUAGGGUAGCAAACGGGAUUAGAUACCCCCGUAGUCCCU
RNAcentral lists this ribosomal RNA (275 nucleotides) under uncultured prokaryote. RNAcentral describes it as "partial 16S ribosomal RNA". It matches the Rfam family "Bacterial small subunit ribosomal RNA", at positions 524 to 798 of the family's 1533-position model. The record is from RNAcentral.